AAUGUGCUUGUUUUGGAGGAGCUGUGAGACUUCAAACAGUCUUUGAGUAGUCAGUCUUUAAGACUAACUUCCACUCUCCACACUUACUUUCCCACAUACAGAGACUUGGAUUUGUGAGGCCGUCUCCUUCCUGUAGAUUUUAAGUUCCAUGAAAGCAGAGAAUUUUGGUUUGUUGUUCAAUGCUGUGCCUGGUACGCGGUGACAGUCAAUAUAUAUUGAAUAAAUGAAUUAAAAAUA
Molecule: long non-coding RNA, 237 nt
Organism: Felis catus (domestic cat)
Lineage: Eukaryota; Metazoa; Chordata; Mammalia; Carnivora; Felidae
Exons: 2
Source: RefSeq, a predicted model, not a curated record